This 148-nucleotide non-coding RNA is filed under the name Pan troglodytes (chimpanzee). Lineage: Eukaryota; Metazoa; Chordata; Mammalia; Primates; Hominidae. The record is from Rfam by way of RNAcentral.
GCCAGGCGUGGUGGCACACGCCUGUAGUCCCAGUUACUUGGGAGGCUGAGGCAGGAGAAUCGCUCGAACCUAGGAGGCAGAGGUUGCAGUGAGCUGAGAUUGCGCCACUGCACUCCAGCCUGGGUGACAGAGUGAGACUCUGUCUCAA